RNAcentral lists this long non-coding RNA (16537 nucleotides) under Medicago truncatula (barrel medic). RNAcentral describes it as "long non-coding RNA (MTRU_LNC000439)". Lineage: Eukaryota; Viridiplantae; Streptophyta; Magnoliopsida; Fabales; Fabaceae. The record is from RNAcentral.
UGUAGCACAUCCCCAAUGUUGAUCACCAACGCUCCAUUAACAGGAGGAACAUUUAUCCAACUAUCGCCGUCUUUGCCUCUUACAUAAAGUCCGCCAAUAUCAUCUUGUAGAAGGACAGUGAUUGAUGAUAUAUCAGAAUGAGGACCUACUCCUGAUACAAGUUCAGGUUCAGGACAAGCAGGGUAGUAAUUGAAGCCUAAUAUCAUUGCACCCAUUAACGCGUAUUCUCUUUCUUUGUCUAACUCCUUCACAUUCAGUUUCUUAAGAAGCACUUUUAGCAACUUUCUAAUAAAAGCGUCAGCAUAUUUCAUAUAUUCUAGUGCUUGAUUCCUGCAAAAAAAGAUAGUCAAUCAAGACUGAUAUCAAUAUUUAUAUUCAAACUUUCAAAAAAAUUAGUAAAGUCUAUCGCGGUUCAACCUAUUUCCACCCUGCUUGAACUCUUAUAAACAUUGUACCCUUAUAUACACUAAGCUACAUUCAAAUAGCUCACAUCACAUGACAAACAAAAGAGUAAAUAGUUCAAAUUUCCACUCCAUUAUUACUCUUCAUCUUGUAAAUAUGACUUUGGUCCUUUGUAUACUUGUUUGUACAUGACUCAUAAUUGGAAUAAGCUUCCUGAUGUUUUGUGUGUAGAAAAGUUUACUAAUUAUUUUCUAUGCAAUAAGCACAAAAGGGUACAAUAAACAGUUUAUGAUUUAUAAAGAAAUUCAGAUAUCUUUAUUUACAUUUUCUUCUCUGUUCAUAAACAAUUGUACAAAAACUAAAAUAAAAUGGUGAUUUCUCCAUUCCCGUCAUCUAUUCCAAAAAAUCAAUUCCAUUCUUCACUACCAUUUCAUAUUCAAUCUCUUAAUAACAUAUAGGCCAAAUACUACGUUUGGUCCUUUUACUUUGACAGAAUUCCCAAGUUAGUCCUUUAAGUUUCAAAUAGGUUCUUUUAGUUGAUAAAUUAUUUCACCGUUACCCCUGUUGUCAGUUAAUAAUUAACUAAUGCUAUGUAGCCGUUAAGUUGUUGAUUUGAAUCAAAACGCUGCCUUUUAAAAGCUCUAGGGUGUCAAAAUGUUACGUUUAAUCGCCGCGAAUGAUCAUUCUAGCACUAUAAAUGAUCAUUUGUGACCAUUAAACAUAGUUUUUUGACACCCUCGAGCUUUUAAAAGGCAGCAUUUUGAUCCAAGUCAAUAACUUAACGGCUACAUCAACAUCAGUUAAAUGGAGACUGACAUCAGGUUCAUGAGAAAAUAUCACAUAAAUAAUAAAUUUAAUUAGUAUACUCUAUCACUACAAUUAUUUUACACAUGCGUCUAAUGAUGUCACGUCAAUUAAUGAAUAUAAAAACAGAUAAGUAAUCAUAUUUAUUGACAAGUUGACAACACUUCAUUGGAAGAAUGUGUAUAAUAAUUGUAAAGAGUAUAUUAAUUAAGGUAAUACAUAAAGCAAAUCAUAUAUAGAUAAGGAGAACUAUUACUUACUUGCAUACAACAGGCCAAUAUGCAUGAAUUUUCUCUUCUGAAGUAUACACAAGCUGCAAGUAAUCCUUCCACUCCAACACUGACUCAGCAUGAGGGCUAAAACUAGUGGCCAACCUCACAACUUCAGGAGGUGAAUUCUCUUUCACAGAUUUCUUCUCUUCAACUGGUAAUUCAAAGAACUUGUGGACAGAAGCUUUCAAAUCAUCAAGGACGUUAAUGGGUAUACCAUGAUUCACAAUUUGGAAGAAACCCAAAUUAGUUGCAGCACUAAAAAUUGAAUCUUGAACAUCUGGGUCAUCCCAGUUUGUGAAAUCAAUGAUGGGUAUUGAUUGUUCUUCUGAGUCAUGGGGGAUAAUUUUGCAUGAGUCCAAUCUAGCUUGGAUAGGUUGGAUAUAUUGGUGAGGAAAAAUAGGGAGAUUUAGAUCAGCAAGACCUUUUACACCAUUGGCUUGGUUAACCAAAAAAUCAAUUAGAUUAUUGGGGGUUGACAUGAUUUAAAUAUAGUGGUUGGGAAUUAAGAACUUGGAAUAAGAGCAAGCACUAAACUGAAGCAAGUAACUAGAUUCUGAGUUUGCGAAAGUUAGCAAACAAACAAAAAAAAAAUGGAGUAAGAGUGUUUAUAAUAGCCAUAAAGCCACCUUUGUUGAAUUUUGAAUGACAUUGCAGUAAAGUUUGUGGAAAAAUGUCAGGUUCCGUGUUUGAUUGUGAACGCCAUGAUAAUGAGCAAUAUAUUUUGAGAGAAAACUUUAAAAUUGCUUUUUUGACAAUGAAUAGUUCUUAAGUAAAUUAUACUUUUAUCUCUAAUGGCAGUUAACAACGGUUGUUAACUACCGUUGUGUUCAUGAUAAAUUCAACUCAGUAGCCAUAAUUCCAAACACUCACUUCAUCAUCACCAUCAUCAUCUUUCUCUCAAAUUUUCACUCUCCCUAAAAAAGCACUAUCAAAUCAUCCAAAAAAAAUUUCCACUAAAAUCACAAGUAAGUUAUCACUUAUGCUAUUGUCAUACAUUUUAGUUAGUAUAUGUGUUUAUAUGUUUAUAAUUUUAGUUGUUGUUUAAUUAUUAAAUUUUGAAUUUUUGUUUUUAAUAUAGUUAUGUUGUAGAUCUGAAAUGCUAUUAACAUAUAUUAUGAAUACCUCUUAUAAUGAAGUUAUAUUGCUUAAAUUUAUAAUUUUUUUUCGAAUUUUAUAAAAAAAUUAGGAUUUGAAUUUUUGUUUUUAUUAUAGUUAUGAUGUAGAUCUGAAAUGAUAUUAACAUAUAUUAUGAAUACCUGUUAUAAUGAAGUUAUAUUGCUUAAAUUUAUAUAUAUAUUUUUUAGAAUUUUUAUAAAUUUUUUAGGGUUUGUUUAGGAUUUUUAGGGAUUAUGUCAAAUUUUCUCUACAAGUGUUUGAAUGAGUUUUUCAUUGAUUAUUUUUAAUUUCUAAUUGUAUAGAUUUGAAAAAAUGGCCGGGUGGGUCGACGUUCAUGCACAAUUCAACGGCGGAGAACCUCAGAGGUUGAAGGUUCAGUGCCUUGUUGUAACGUUAAGAGGUCUCAAGGAUGAACUGACUGAAUUCAACCAAGGAGUCAACCUCAGAGACACAAGGAGGGUGGAACACGUUCGGUAUAAACGUCCAACGCUCGACGAGUAAAGAGUAUCAUUCACUUGGGUGGAAUUAACGAACAACGAAAACGUGACGAGCAUGUUUUGGGAGCAAAACAUGUUCCAGUGGAUUGAUAUGCGGGUGACGUUGUUGAGAUCAACUAAAGAUAUCAUCAAAAGUUUGAUUCUGCCAGAAGAUCGUCAUUAGGUACCGAAUGAAUGCACCAUCCAGCUACAACAACUGUCUUCCUUUGAACGGGGUAAUUCAAACUUGCCAAACGACAUGACUCCAAUGUUCUACCGGCAUUCCCAUUGUUCCUAUCAAAAGAUUAAGUUUUUGUUAGGCCGGUUUAAAUGAAGUAAUUGAAGUGUCAAUGAAUGGACCUGGUUCUUUUGACACUUGAAUACCGUCAUUUAAACCAAACCUAACAAGAAUUUAAUCUUUUGAAUGGAACUAUGGGAAUGUAGGUCGAACAUUGGAGUCCUGCUGCUUGGCAUGUUUGAAUUUACCCCAUUCAAAGGUAACACAAUUGUUGUAGUUGGAAGGUAUAAACGUCCAAAAACAACAAUUGUCUUCCUUUGAAUGGGGUAAUUCAAACUUGUUAAACGGAAGGAAUCCAGCAUUCGAUAAACAUCUUGAAUACUGGUAUUGAAGUGUCAAGGAAUGCACCCCAUUCUUUUGACAAUUGAAUACCAUCAUUCAAGAUGCUCAUCGCAAGUUGGAGUCCUGCUAUUUAGCAAGUUUGAAUUUGCCCCAUUCAAGGGUAAGAUAAUUGUUGCAGUUGGAAAGUACAUUCCGAAAUGUAAUGUAAUGUGAUAACGUAUAUAGUUGAAUAUGCAUAAUACAUUUUGUUUUGAAUGGAACAAUAAUUAUCUUAUUUAUUCACUUUUCGAAUUUAUUUAUUCAUUACUCAAUUUUAAUUAGUUGAAUUCACGUUAGAUUUAAUUAGUUUUUAUUCAAAUACGCAAUUAUUCAAAACGCGACUUUAAUCGAAAUUAUUCAAAUGCGAUUUUAAUUAAAAUUAUUCAAAACGCGAAUUUAUUCAAAGUAUCAAUAUGUCAAGCAAAAUGUACCAUAAAAAAAAACAUAAAAAAAGAUUCAAAAUAAUUUGAUAUUACAACCCAUUACAUUUAAUCAUCUUCCACAUACACAAGUCAAUUGGGUCGUCCUCGACAGUCCCUAGGGCACCUGCUUUUGGCUGAGGACCAAAAUAGCAUGUCCUCCCGCUCCUCCUCAACCUCGAAUGAUUAUACACCAGCACCUUCGAAUCCUUCUUUUUGAUGGAUCCAUCACAUGUGAUUCCGUGUCAUGUCAUCGGUGAUUUUUAUUUCUUCUUGUCAUUACCCUCCUUCUUCUUGUUCAACUCAACGUUUCCCUGAUUCUGAGACAUAUCUACAUAAACAAAUCAGCGAUCAAAACCUACAUCAUGACGUAACAAUUCUACAAUAAUUCAUCAAAACCUAAACUAAUCCUAAAAAUUAUACCGUAACUAAUCGUAACAAUUCUAUCACAAAUUCAUAACAACAAAAUUUCAUAACAAACCUAAACUAAUCGCAAUGAUUAUACAACAAUUCAUCUAAUCUUAAAAAUUCUACCAUAAUUUCAUAACAAUUCUAACAAUGUAAACAAUUCUAACCUAAACCUAACAAUUCAAACAACCUAAACUAUCAUAAAAUCAAUAAACCUUUAUAAUCGCAAUUUAAGCAAAAAAAAAAAAAAAAAAACUAAUAAAUCAAUCACACAAAAUAGAAAUGUAAUAGGAUGGUAACAACUUACUUGAUUUUGUGAGCGUAAUUGGCGUUGAAUCUGCAACAAUUGGGAAAAAUGACACCUCUUGAUCUUCAAUCCGCAACUAUGGAGUUUUGGAAACUCCUAUGUUGUUUUGUUCAUAUAACAGAAAGCAACGACAGUUAACUGUCGGCGCAUAGCUUAACGGUUGUUAAUUGCCGCUGGGGGUAAAAGUGUCAUUUACUUGUGUCAAUAGGAAGUAUUCUAUGUCAGAAAAACAAUUUUCAAACUUUUAUGACAACUUUUUUGGUUAGACUUUUAUGUGUUUAGUCUCUGCAAAUAGGGGUUAUUUAAAAAAGACUAAAAUAUGGUUUUAGUCCCUGCAAAUAUGCCUCGUUUUGGUUUUAGGCCCUGGUAAAAAAAAAUUUUGUUUUUGGUCCCUGCAAAAUUUUUUGUUUUUGAAAAUAGUCCCUAAAAAAUUUUGCAGGGAACUUUUUUAAAAACAAAAUAUUUUGCAGGGACCAAAAACUACAAAAUUGGUUCAGUUAUAAUGUGCCACGUAUGCAAAUCUUCACAAAAGUGGGGUUAGGGACUAUUUUCAAAAACAAAAAAUUUUGCAGGGACCAAAAACAAUUUUUUUUUUUAACCAGGGACUAAAACCAAAACAAGACAUAUUUGCAGGGACUAAAACCAUAAUUUAGCCUUUAAAAAAUGGUCUAUGUAUUCUUUAAUCCUGACAUUUUGUCCUACCAAAAUUUAAUCACUUAAAAAUUGGUCAUGUGCCCCAAUUAAUUACUGCAACGUCAUUGUAAUUACAAACGUAAAAUUACAAAAAUACCCCUAUCAUUAGUGAUGUGGUGGCAGUGAUUAAGUGGGGAGAAGGACGAAAGUUUUAGUGAUUAAAUUUUGGCAGGGCAAAAUGCCUCGAUUAAGGAAUACAGGGACCAAUUUUUAAAUGACCCCUAUUUGCAAGGACUAAACAUAUAUAAAAGCCUUUUCGGUUAUACUCACAUUAUAUUUUUACUUUAUUUUAUUAUUAUUAUUUUUUUGUAAAUUUAUGUUGUUCAACGAUUGUUACAGGAAAUGAUUGUUCAAAUAACACUUUGUUGUGAAUUCGUUGAAAAUCACACCAAUAAAAUACUUGAUGUGUGGAACAAAUUAAUAAAGCAACCAAUAUCAAAGUGGGUGAAAAUAAUAAACACAGGAAAAAGUAGAAAAUGCGAGAGAAAGAAAGAGAGAAAAUACGAAAAUUUGUUUACCUAGUUCGGUCUAAUACUAACCUAGUCUGCUGAUGAGAUUAGCCAUCCGUUCCACUAUUAUGAUGAGUAACUUUACAAAAGAGAUAUCAAAGGUUUACAAGAAUCAGUCUUCAAACCUAAUGCUACCCAAAGUCUCAAUCUCUUCUCGUGACUAAGAGACACAAUCCUAAUAGUGUUUCCCAAGGUGAAUCAAUCUCAACCCAGUGUUUGUUGCCAAGAGCACCUCCAAGAAAUCCAAUUUUGAGUCACUCUCCAACAAUCUCCACCUUGACUCUAAAUUAGUGAUGAUGUCAAUUUAACGAUCAAUCACCUUGUUGAUGUCUCCUUGCUUCAUCUUCCCUUGCUUCCACCUACACCAAGUAGCUCUACAAGUUUUCCACCCAACCUCUUCAACCAUCGGAAUGCCUUCCGCCUUCUUGAAUCUUGUAAGUCCUUAUAGGUGGGUUUAAAAUCGGAGUUAGAAUUAGAGUCGGAGUCGGAGAAGAUUACCUCAUUUUUAGCUUUCUUUGUUUGACCCAUGAAGCAAAGAUCAUCUUGAUCCUUGUUUUUGGCAUCACUAUUAUUGGAGGUAACUUCAUCUUCAUCCCAAGCAAUGUAGGCCUUUCUUCCUCUUGAGUUUUGAUUGGGUCCGGAUCUUCCUAUUUCUUUAGCAAGUUCUAGACAUUCAUUCUUGUAAUGUCCUACUUUGCCGCAACCAUAGCAACUAGCCACUUUCUCAUCACUAUCCAAUUUUUUUCCUUUCAUUGAGGCCUUUCUAAAGUUCACUAGAUUCUUGUUAUUGUGCUUUAACCCAUUUAUUUUAAUGUAACCGUUGUACCGCCUAACAUACAUGCUCAUUUCCUCUUCAUUUAUAGCAUCAUCAUCGGAUUCAUCAUCAUUUUGAACCGAAGAGGUAAAGAUGAACGAAGUGGUGCUUAAAGCAAUGGACUUCCUUUCCUUGUUCUUAGAGUCAUCCCCACUUGACUUGAAGCAAUUAAUCUCAUGUUCAUAUUCCUUUAAUUUUCCAAAGAGUGUAAUCAUACUAAGAGCAUCGAGAUUUUAUGAUUUCUUGAUAGCGGUAACUUUGGGCUGCCAUCCCUUUGUCAUACAUCUCAAAAUUUUAUUAGUGCAAUCUUGGUUUGAAAUUGUUUUACCAAGGAUUUGCAACUUGUUUACAAUUUGAGUAAAUCUCAUCUGCAUGGAUGAGAUGGUUUCACCAUCUUUCAUAUAAAAAAGCUCAUAUUGUUGCACAAGGGUAUUAAUUUUUUAUUGUUUAACUUCAUUGGUUCCUUCGUGAAGGGUUUCCAAUGCAUCUCACAUAUCUUUGGAGGUCUUACAAUGAGAUACGGAAUGAUACUCAUUAACCCCAAGAGAGGAGAUGAGGAUAUUUCGUGCCUUCAAAUCGUAUUGGACCUUCUUUUUGUCAUCAUCGCUCCAAUCGGCUUUAGGCUUAUCUUGCGGUUGAAACCACCCGUUGGCCACGACAUCCCACACAUCCAUAUCUACCGAUUGGAUGUGAACGCUCAUCCAUUCUUUCCAAUAGUCGUAAUUUUCUCCAUAAAAGUUAGAUUCUCUAUUAUACGCCCCCUUCGGCUCCUUACUAGCCAUAUGGAUCAACUCUUCCGGUAGUUACCCGUAAGAAGAGACCAAACUCUAUGAUAUCACUUGUUGUUCUAUAUGGAUAGAUGGUUACCAAGCUAGAAGAUGGGGGGGGGGGGGUGAAUAGUGUUUUAAAAGAUUUUCCAGAGUUUUAAUAAAAACCGAUAUUAACAAAAUUGACUAUUGGAUUCGUGCUCGAACAAUCACAAUCAAUGAAUCAAAAAGACAAAUAUAUGUGAAAUAAGAUUUAAUCUUAGAAUUGAGAGAUUCAAGAUUCAAGAUUAAAAUCUUAUUAUAUAAUCAAAUGUUAAUAUUCCUUGAACAAUGUACAAAACAAUAUACAAUUUCAAACCAAACCUAUAUGAACAAAAUUACUAAGCUAUCAAAUCAAAAACAUAAUACAUGUGUAAUUGAAGAAUUGAAUAGAUUUUAAAAUCAAUUGAUCUAAGCAAAUUAUAUGAAACCUAAUUCAACAAAUUAGAUUGAUUUUCAAUGAAAAACAACUUAGAUCAAUACUAGCAAUUAUCCUAACAAUUAUUCAAUUAAUAACAUGCAAUGGUUAAAAUGUAAAGAGGAUAGGAAAAAGAGAUAAUACCGAUAUUUUUAUCGGUGCUGGUAACCUUAGCUUUCAAGUCGAUCAAAAUUGUUCCUUGGCACCUAAGAAAUAGGUGGCAAAAAUGCUUGAAACUUUGCUCCUCUAGGUCUUUCUUUGUAACUCACAUUUUUAGGGAGGGUAACCAUUGUGCAGACAAAUUGGCAGACAUUGGUUUUUCUAUUCAAUCUCAAUUUUGGUGGGAUAGUAUUCCUAGAGAAAUUAUAUGGGAUUAUGCUAUAAAUAGUUGGGUUUACCUCUUUUUAGGUUUUGUUAACCUUGAGGGUCAGGUUCUUGUCCCCCCUCUUAUUUGUUGUUCUUUCUUUUUUUAUUAUCAAUCUAAUGGGACUUGUCAAGACAAGUUUCCUUCUCUUAAAAAAAAAUAUAGUAGCUCUCUCUUUCUCGUCCUCGCUAGAGUUAUGUCUACUCUUCUUGAUGAAGUACGCUUUCACAAAGGUCAUCCACUAUGUAACAAAUGUUGAAUACAAUGUUUUUACAAGAGUUACUUGUAAUUAAAACCUAAUUCUUCAACUCCUAUGUAAAACACUCCCCCAAACUUCAAGUAACCCUUCAAUUUGGUGCUCCUUGAAUCUUCGAAUUUUUGAUUACCCGUGCACCCCUGCGAACUCUUCACUCAAGCCUUCGAUGCUACNNNNNNNNNNNNNNNNNNNNNNNNNNNNNNNNNNNNNNNNNNNNNNNNNNNNNNNNNNNNNNNNNNNNNNNNNNNNNNNNNNNNNNNNNNNNNNNNNNNNAGAAAUGCACACAAAGAAGCCAAGAAGAAAGAUUGCAAGGGUCUCUUUUACAUUCAUCAGUGCGUGCACAACAAGGUGUUUGAGAAGAUUGUUAAUUCAGAUAGUUCCAAGGAAGCAUAAGAUACUCUUGUGAAGUAUUUCAGUGGAGAUGACAAAGUAAAGAAGAUUAGGCUACAGUCAUUGAGAAGACAAUACUAAUUACUUUAGAUGAAGAAAGAAGAUAAGAUAAAAGAUUAUUUCUCAUCUGUUCUAACAAUCACAAAGCAGAUGAAGAUUUGUGGUGAGACUCUUUUUGAUAAAUCAGUUAUGGAAAAAAUCCUGAGAACCCUUCCAUCUCAGUUUGAUCACUUGGUGAUAACCAUUGAAGAAACCAAGGAUCUGAAUGAAGUAAAGAUUGAAGAACUUCAAGGAGCAUUAGAAGCUCAUGAGAUGAAGGUAACUAGUAGGAAAGAAGAGAAAGAUGAAGAACAAUCCCUCCUUGCAAGAUUCAAGCAAGAAGAAUCCAUGAAAGAGUACUGGAAGAAGAAAAAGGGAAAGAAUCAUCAGAAGCAUGGUGACAAGCCUGAAUCUUUAAAGAGUGGAGGUAAAUCUUCUAAGAAUCAAGGGAAGAAAUUUAACAAGAAGAAUGUACAAUGCUUUAAUUGUGAGAAGUAUGGACAUUAUGCUUCUGAAUGCUGGUUCAAUAAAGAUAGAAAUGGAAAGAACAAAGAUCAAUAAGCAAAUGUUUCUCAGGAAGAUUCACAUUCUGAUGAUGAUACAGUCAUUUUGAUACUUGGUAUCUUGAUACUGGAUGCUCAAAUCAUAUGACUGGUAAGAAGGAAUGACUAAGUGAAUUUGAUGAUAGAAAGAAAACUAGUAUGAGAUUGGCUGAUAUCAGAAGUAUGAAAUCACAAGGUAUAAGGAAUGUAACCAUACAAGGCAAAGAUGGAAAUAAAGCAAUGAUUGAGAAGGCGCUUUAUGUUUUUGGAAUGAAGUGUAAUCUCAUAAGUGUAUGUCAACUCAUAGAGAAAUAUUAUUCAGUAACAAUGGAGAAUGAUACCUUGAAUCUGUACAAUCCUGAAAAGAAGCUUAUACUACAGUGAAAUUUUACAAGGAAUAGAACUUUCAAAACCAACAUAAUGAUUAAGGAGGAAAUGUGAUAUAAAUCUUCAAUCAAAGAUGAUGAAUCUGAACUUUGGCUCAAAAGGUAUGAACACUUGAACUUUAGAAGCUUAUGUUUACUGAAAACUAAUAAUAUGGUGAUUGGGGAGUUAAAUGUGAAGAUCGUUGAAAAAUCAUGUAGCAUAUGUUUAGUAGGGAAGCAUUCUAGGUCAGCUUUCAAGUCUGAAUUAAAGAUGAGAGCAAAGCAUGUAUUGAAUGUAGUGCAUUCAGAUAUCUAUGGACCUAUAAAAGUUCCUACUUACAGUGGAAAUAGAUAUUUCAUCACUUUUGUGGAUGAAUACUCAAAGAUGCUAUGGUUAUACUUGAUAAAGCUCAAAAGUGAUGCUUUGGAAGUAUUUAAGAAGUUCAAGGUGUUACCUGAGAAACAAAGUGGCAUGAAGCUUAAGAUUCUUAUAACAUAUGGAGGGGGUGAAUAUACUUCUAAAGAUUUUGAAUCUUACUGCACAAAUCAGGGUAUAAUCCAUGAAGUUACAACUCCUUACACUCCUUAACACAAUGCUCUUACUGAAAGGAAGAAUAGAUAUUUGCUUGAUAUGGUCAGGAGUAUGUUGAAAGAGAAAAAGAUACCUCAUGAAUUUUGGGGUGCAGCAGUCAACACUGCAACUUAUAUUCUAAAUAGAUGUCCUACUAAGAAGAUGAAGGAUAAGGUGCCUGAAGAGAUUUGGUCAAGAAGGAAACCUUCAAUCAUUAAUUUGAAAGUUUUUGGUUCAAUCUUCUAUAAGCAUGUUCCUGAUUCAAGAAGAAAGAAGCUAGAGGACAAAAUUGAAGCUAUGAUUUUGGUUGGCUAUCACAACACUGGAGCUUAUAGAUUGCUUGAUCUACACUCUAAGAAGAUUUCAAUAAUUAGAGAUGUGAAAGUGUUAGAGGAAGAAUACUGGGAUUGGAAUUCAAAUGAAUGCAGUGUGUAUGAAAAAAAUGUUAUCAUUGAAAAUAAGAAGGAGUCUGAUGAGCUUCUCACAAAUGAAGAAGUUAUUUCUGAAGAGGUAUCAUAUGAGGAGCCAACAACUAUAGCCAGACCACAAAGAAACAAACAAAUGCUAAGGAGAUUGCAGGAUUGUCAAGUAACUUGUGAUGAUGAGAUAGGUUCUGAUGGUGAGUUAGUGCAUUUUGCAAUGCUUGUAGACACUAAGCCAUUAUAUAAACUAAAAUCUAGUGGGAAGAAUCAGACAUGGGAAUUGAUUAAACUAUCUGAUGGUAAGAAAGCAAUAGAUGUUAAAUGGGUCUUUAAGUUGAAAUUGAAUCCUGAAGGGAAGAUUGUGAAGCACAAAGCUAGACUUGUGGCUAGAGUUUUCUUGAAGAAGGAAGGCUUUGAUUAUACUGAAGUGUUCUCACCAGUUCCAAGACAUGAAACCAUCAGACUUGUGAUAGCACUUGCAACUAGCAAUGCCUGACCUCUGUAUCAUUUAGAUGUAACGUCUGCUUUCUUGAAUGGUACACUAGACGAAACUGUGUAUGUCACUCAACCCCCUGGCUUCAUAAUCAAAGGGAAAGAAGAUAGAGUUUUCAAAUUAAAUAAAGCUUUGUAUGGAUUGAAACAAGCACCUAGAGCGUGGAAUAAAAGAAUUGAAAAAUUCUUUGUUGAACAAUGUUUUAAGAAAUGUCUAGCUGAGCAUGGAGUUUAUGUGAAAGGGAGUGAAGGAACAAGUUUACUGAUUAUAUGUAUGUAUGUAUGAAGAAUUCAAAUCAGUCAUGAAGUCUGAGUUUGAAAUGACUUUUUAGGUAAGCUUGCAUAUUUCUUAGGCUUGGAAAUUCUCAGAACUACAAAGGGAUUGAUACUCUAUCAAACCAAAUAUGAUACUGAGAUCCAGAAGAAGUUCAAUAUGUUAGAUUUCAACUCAUCCAUCACUCUUGCAUAUGCUAACAACAUAAAUGAAGUAAAAGAAGAAGAUAAAGGUGUGGAUCCAACUAUAUUGAGAAGGCUCAUUGGUUUAUUGAGAUAUUUAUGUCAAAGCAGACUAGACAUAAGUUAUUCAGUUGGAAUUGUUAGCAAGUUCAUGAGUAACCCUCUCAAAACUCAUUUCUUAGCAGCCAAGAAGAUUAUAAGAUACAUACAUGGUACAUUGCAGUAUGGAAUUUUAUUCCCUGAGGCACAAGAAACUGAGCAGCUCAGCAUGAUAGAUUACUCAGAUGCAGAUUGGUGUCGGGAUAAAAGAGAUAGGAGAAGAACUACAAGUUUUUUGUUCAUGCUGCAAGGAGCACCUAUUUCAUGGUCAUCUAAGAAGCAACCAAUUGUUGCUCUCUCAAGCUGUGAAGUUGAGUAUGUUGUAGGCUCAUCUGCAGCUUGUCAAGCCAACUGGUUACAAAAUGUGUUAGAACAGUCGAUGAUCAAGCUUAAGCAACCUAUCAAGCUUCUAAUAGAUAACAAGUAUGCCAUAAAUCUAGCUAAGAACCAUAUUUCCCAUGGUAAAAGCAAACACAUUGAGACUAAAUUCCACUACUUAAGGGAUCAAGUGAACAAAUGCAAGAUCAAUAUUGUCUGAGAUGUGUAAUGCCCUAUUUUAUUAUUUAUUUAUUUUAUUGAGUUUAGAUGUCUUUUUAUAAUUUAGUCGAUUUAUUUUGAUGAGUGAUAUUUUGUUAUGUUAUAUGUUGGUAUUUAUUAGAAAUAUAUUUGUUAUUUGGUGUAGAAAUAUAUAUGUUAUUUGAUGUUGAAAUAUAUAUGUUAUCUGGUGUAGAAAUAUAUAUGUUAUCUGUUGUAGAAAUAUAUUUCUUAUUUGGUGUACAAAUAUAUGUUAUAGAAAUAUAUAUGUUAUAGAGAUAUUUGUUAUAGAAAUAUUUGUUAUUUGUUAUAGAAAUAUUUUAUAUUAUAUAUAUAUAUAUAUAUUAGAAUAGAAUAUAGAGACUUGGAGGGCAGAUUUGGAAAUAAGAGAAAAUAAGUAGGUUAAGGAUUUAUAUAAAAAUGGAGAGUUAGAAUUAAAAAAAAUAAGGAUUACGUGCAAACUGCAUUUGGGAGAAAAAGGGAGAAAGUGAGAAGUCAGAGAAAGAGAAGAGGAGCAAUCUCGUAGAGACCGAUCAUCUAAUCUAAGGUAAGGGUGGGAUUAGCUUUCUCUAAUAAUGGGUUGUAUAAUUCUAAAAAAGGGUUUAACCUUGUAGUUGUUGUUAGUAUUGAUGUUUUGGGAAUUAGGUUUAGAAGUUGUAAUUUGUUGAUUUAAGAGUAGAUAAUCUGAUGAAUUAGGGUAAUAAUUGGUGUCCAAGUUGCAGAUUAAUCAUAGGUUAAGUUUCCUAUCAAAUUUGGGAUUUGGGUGGAUGAAAAAUUGGGUUUUUGGCUGAAAACUGGUCUGUUCCCGCAGUGCUGUCUGUCGCAACUCGCCACAGCGAAUAAAUUUACUCGCCUCGCGAGCUGCAUAGUGACAGCAUACCCUAUUCGUGUUCUUGCGUCUUUUUCACAUGUUUCUGUUUUUAAUUGUCAUUUGGUGUAAACAUGAAAGUUUUAGAUAAUUUCGUUAGCUUUCCAAUGGCUUUGGUUUGACUUGAAAAUGAUUUUUAGUUUUUGAGAUAUGAUGAAAAUACUUCAAGGAGGUCUUAGUGAAAUCUUAUGAAAAUUCAGCAUAACCAUUUCUAAGUUAAUCCAAAACUUAUGGGAUAAUUCCAAACCUCAAAACUAGAAGUACUAUGAGUUCAAUUAAGGUGUUUAAGAGUAUUUAACCUAUGUUGUGAGUUGAUCUUGGGAUAUGAAUGAAAGUUGUUAUUAAGUUAUAGACUUACAGAGAGCCUGAAUCAAAUGAUUAAUGAUUGUUGGUUAGUUUAAGAUAUUUAUAUAAGGUGUUGAAAAUGUAUGAUAUAGAAAUUAUUAUUGUUUAUAUCAUUCAAGUUGUUAUUAUUGAUGUUGCUAUGUUGCAAGAUGUUUAUGUUGUGUUUUCUGCUGUUGUUGAACCAUUAUUGUCAUUAAGUUGCAAGUGUUGGUCUAAGUUGUAAAGUUGUAAGUUGUUAUUCCAAGAUAUUGGAUCAUAUAAGUUGUGAAGUUGUCUAAGUUGUACGUUUUUGAGUCCAUGCAUACUCAUUUGAAGUUGAGGGCUUGAUGCCCUGUGAGCUUUUGCUCUUACGUUGAGGGCUUGAUGCUCUGUGAGCUUUUGCUCUUAUGUUGAGGGCUUGAUGCCCUGUGAGUGUAUUUAUGCUCUUUAUGUUGAGGGCUUGAUGCCCUGGUUGGUACCACAUGCAUGAUUAAGAAGUUGAAGUUGCAUAUGUUGAGUUUAAGUUGUAGAAGUCGCAUUGUCGUUGUCGUUAAGUUGUCAUUUGUCAAUGAGUUGUUAAUAAAGAACUAAGUGAAGUAUUAAUAUUUAUUAAUCGUUGUUGUUUAUGUUGUUAUGAGAUGAUGUUUAUGAUGUGUUGUUUAUGUUGUUAUAAGAUGAUGUUUAUGAUGUGUUGUUUAUGUUGUUAUAAGAAGAUGUUUAUGAUGUGUUGUUUAUGUUGUUAUAAGAUGAUGUUUAUGAUGUGUUGUUUAUGUUGUUAUAAGAUGAUAUUAUGAUGUGAUGUUUAUGUCGUUAUAUGAUGAUGUUUAUGAUCUGAUUAUUAUGUGCUAUAUGAUGUUGUAUAUAAUGUGAUGAAUAUGAAGUUAAUGAUGAUUAGAAGUUGGUUGAGUUAUUAAUGAAGUAUUAUAAGAAGAGUUAAUGUUAUUAAUUGAUGAAGUUUAAGUUGUUAAAUGCUUUUGAUGAAUUAUAUGCUUAUUAUUAUUGAAUGUGAAAUCUCACCCCUUCUGCUUGGAAAUGUUGUCCUCACAAUUGCGUAACUUGUAGGUAAUCAAGAAUAGUUGCGGUCGUGAGCGAAUUCUCUCACGUGUGUCUUAGGUGUUCUGAUACGUAACGGGAUGAGAAUUUUGUUGUUGAUUUCUAUUCCUUACGUAUACUUUUAUGGAAUAACUUUAAGAGAUUUUAUAUAUGUUGAGGCCUUAGUGCCAAAGAUGUUUAAAUGUUGAAUAAAUUCCGUUGCGAUGAAAUAAUUGAUAUAUUGUUGAAUUUGAAGGAUAAAUAGUUAUUUUAUUCUGUUUAUGAUUUUAUGAAAAGAAGUGUGACAUUCCAUUUAUGUUGAAAUACUCUGAUUUAAAUGUGAAAUUUUUAAGUUGGGAAAACGGGAUGUUAGAAGAUGCAUCUGUAGUUUUUUUUAAAGAGGUAUGCAUAAUUUCCUUUUAUCGUAGUAAUUGUGGUCAAUUUUUUCUUAAGAAAAUAGUAAUAAACCAUGUUAGUCAAAAUUGUAAAUAAGCCAAAGUUGAUUAUUUCUAUAUAUAAUAUAAUCAAGUACAAAUAGUUGCACACAAUAACAAAAAAGAAAAUUACGUAUUAAAGCAGAUUUUCAAAGUUAGCACAUUCUCUAGCAAACUUCUUCAGCCCCCGCACAAUUCUCAUGUUGAUUGAAAUAUAAAUAUGUUCCACUAAAUUAUGUAGAUCCAAAUAUUAUUUCGUCGGACCAAUGUUGACUUAAACCAACAUGGCAACAUCCAUGAUGAAUGCAAAUCAUAUUUUUGCAAAUUCAAUAGUUUUCUUCCCAUCAUGAGCUUUGCUGAAGAAAUAGUUGAAAUACUCCGAGAACACUACUUGUUUAUAAUGUGGUUCCUCUCCAUUCUCCAACACUUCUGGCAAAGUACCAAUGACAGCAUCAGGUGCUGGGUUGACAAAGAUUGGCAUGGAGAUCCUAGUUUUGUUUCCAUCAACAACCACUCUAUGCUCUAUACUUUUGUACCUUCCAUUGCUCAUUAUCUGUAGCACAUCCCCAAUGUUGAUCACCAACGCUCCAUUAACAGGAGGAACAUUUAUCCAACUAUCUCCUUCUUUGCCUCUUAUAUAAAGUCCUCUUUUAUCAUCUUGUAGAAGGACAGUGAUUGAUGAUAUAUCAGAAUGAGGACCUACUCCUGAUACAAGUUCAGGUUCAGGACAAGCAGGGUAGUAAUUGAAGCCUAAUAUCAUUGCACCCAUUAAAGCGUGUUCUCUUUCUUUGUCUAACUCGUUCACAUUCAGUUUCUUAAGAAGCACUUGUAGCAAUUUUCUAAUAAAAGCGUCAGCAUAUUUCAUAUAUUCUAGUGCUUGAUUCCUGCAAAAAAAGAUAGUCAAUCAAGACUGAUAUCAAUAUUUAUCAUCAAACUUUCAAAAAAGUUAGAUUCAAAUCUUAAAAUAAGCUUAUCUUAGUAAAUAGAUCAUGCUUGCUCUUGGAUUUUUUGACUAGGUCAGACCUAUUUAUUUAUGCAAAGUCUACCUCAGUUCAACCUAUUAAUUUCCUCCAUAGUUUCACUCUUAUAAUCAUGUCCACCCCCGUUUUUUUUUUCUUUCAAGUAGCCCAGUGGCUAGAGCUCAUCCAAUUUAAUUGUGGAGAAGAGUGUUCGGGGUUCGAAUUCCGACCCCUGCAUAUAAAAUGCAAUAUCCCUACCAACAGCUAAGCUCACGUGGAUAUCAUGUCCACCCGCUUAUAUAGAUAAAGAGAACAAUUACUUACUUG